This 393-nucleotide ribosomal RNA is filed under the name uncultured bacterium. Its description in RNAcentral is "partial 16S ribosomal RNA". It matches the Rfam family "Bacterial small subunit ribosomal RNA", at positions 523 to 918 of the family's 1533-position model. The record is from RNAcentral.
AUACGGAGGAUGCGAGCGUUAUCCGGAUUUAUUGGGUUUAAAGGGAGCGUAGGUGGGAUAUUAAGUCAGCUGUGAAAGUUUGGGGCUCGACCUUAAAAUUGCAGUUGAUACUGGUUUCCUUGAGUACGGUACAGGUGGGCGGAAUUCGUGGUGUAGCGGUGAAAUGCUUAGAUAUCACGAAGAACUCCGAUCGCGAAGGCAGCUCACCGGGCCGGAACUGACACUGAUGCUCGAAAGUGCGGGUAUCAAACAGGAUUAGAUACCCUGGUAGUCCGCACAGUAAACGAUGAAUACUCGCUGUUUGCGAUACACGGUAAGCGGCCAAGCGAAAGCGUUAAGUAUUCCACCUGGGGAGUACGCCGGCAACGGUGAAACUCAAAGGAAUUGGCGGGG